UACUCCUACGGGAGGCAGCAGUGGGGAAUAUUGCGCAAUGGGCGAAAGCCUGACGCAGCAACGCCGCGUGGGUGAUGAAGGCCCUUGGGUCGUAAAGCCCUGUCAGGAGGGAAGAAUGAGCGGGUGGUUAAUACCCAUCCGCAGUGACGGUACCUCCAAAGGAAGCACCGGCUAACUCCGUGCCAGCAGCCGCGGUAAU
RNAcentral lists this ribosomal RNA (199 nucleotides) under uncultured bacterium. RNAcentral describes it as "partial 16S ribosomal RNA". It matches the Rfam family "Bacterial small subunit ribosomal RNA", at positions 334 to 524 of the family's 1533-position model. The record is from RNAcentral.